GUGGGGAAUAUUGGACAAUGGGCGCAAGCCUGAUCCAGCAAUGCCGCGUGGGUGAAGAAGGUCUUCGGAUCGUAAAGCCCUUUCGACAGGGACGAUGAUGACGGAACCUGUAGAAGAAGCCCCGGCUAACUUCGUGCCAGCAGCCGCGGUAAUACGAAGGGGGCUAGCGUUACUCGGAAUUACUGGGCGUAAAGGGCGCGUAGGCGGCUCUGUUAGUCAGGCGUGAAAUUCCUGGGCUUAACCUGGGGACUGCGCUUGAUACUGCAGGGCUUGAGGCCGAGAGAGGGGGGUGGAAUUCCCAGUGUAGAGGUGAAAUUCGUAGAUAUUGGGAAGAACACCGGUGGCGAAGGCGACCACCUGGCUCGGUUCUGACGCUGAGGCGCGACAGCGUGGGGAGCAAACAGGAUUAGAAACCCUAGUAGUCC
Molecule: ribosomal RNA, 425 nt
Filed under: uncultured bacterium
Lineage: Bacteria
Description: partial 16S ribosomal RNA
Rfam family: Bacterial small subunit ribosomal RNA
Source: RNAcentral